Molecule: long non-coding RNA, 585 nt
Organism: Helianthus annuus (common sunflower)
Lineage: Eukaryota; Viridiplantae; Streptophyta; Magnoliopsida; Asterales; Asteraceae
Exons: 2
Source: RefSeq, a predicted model, not a curated record
UUAAUGGACGAAACCACGGGUUAAGGCUUCAAUAGUUCAAUUCACCAUGAAGAAGACUGAUUCACUGAACAUCAUCUUCAAUUCUUCAUCAUCGAUGUUGCCUUGUGUGCGUGACCACCUUCAACGAAUCAACUCCAUGGAAAUCGAGCAACAAUUCGCUUAACCAGGCACUCUCUAGGUGGAAGUUUAUCGUUACUAGGGCCUCAAACAAGUGAAGAACACUGAACAAUGGGUGAAGAAUACUAAACAACGGCAUUAAGGACGAGAAGAGGAAAAUGGUUGCUUCCGCUUUCGGUGAAGAUCAAAGCGGAACAUCAACCGCUCCUUUAACAGCUGAAGAUCUCAGAUAUUUGUUUAUGGGGGCACAUUGAGACUUUUUAGUUAGGUGAUUAGUUUGGGCAUUUUUGUUUAGAUUAUGUGCAAAGCCCUGUAAAUAGUGGUAGUUACUUUUAUUGUUUGUAGAGAAGACUAGUUUUGAUUGUUUAAUUUAAACUAGAGAUAGCAGUGAGUCUACUUUUGGUAAUUCUAGUCCUAUACCCGAUCGUAAAACUGUGUACUAUACCCGGGUUAAAUUUUUUUUAGUAA